AUUUUGUGUUGGCCAUCUACUGCCGGUUAUGGGGCCUACCCUUAAGUGUAGUAGGCAUCCCUGGAAAAAACAAUUUUUCAUUUUGAAAAAAAUAUGAAAUGGGUUUUUGGAAUUGGGAGUUGGAAUAGGAGCUUGCUCCGUCCACUCCACGCAUCGACCUGGUAUUGCAGUGUCUCCAGGAGCGGUGCACCCCCU
This is a small nuclear RNA of Peromyscus eremicus (cactus mouse), 195 nucleotides long. RefSeq annotates it as U2 spliceosomal RNA. The transcript has a single exon. NCBI's taxonomy places the organism in Eukaryota, Metazoa, Chordata, Mammalia, Rodentia, Cricetidae. The record is from RefSeq and is a predicted model, not a curated record.